Molecule: ribosomal RNA, 317 nt
Filed under: Mesembrina meridiana
Lineage: Eukaryota; Metazoa; Arthropoda; Insecta; Diptera; Muscidae
Description: partial 12S ribosomal RNA
Source: RNAcentral
GCAUAUUUUAGAGCUAUAAUCAAUUUAACAAAAUAGGUAAAUUUACGAUCAAAUCCACUUUCAUUAAAAAAUUUCAUUUUUAAAUUCAUAUAGAUAACACUAUUGUAACCCAUCUCUACUAAAGUAUAAGCUACACCUUGAUCUGAUAUAAAUUCUGAUACAAAUUAUUGAAAAUUAUUAUUCUAAUAAAAUAUUCUGAUAACGACGGUAUAUAAACUGAGAAACAAACUAAAGCAAAGUGAAACGUGGAUUAUCGAUUACAGGACAGGUUCCUCUGAAUAGACUAAAAUACCGCCAAAUUUUUUAAGUUUCAAGAA